This 1362-nucleotide ribosomal RNA is filed under the name uncultured bacterium. Its description in RNAcentral is "bacterial SSU rRNA". It matches the Rfam family "Bacterial small subunit ribosomal RNA", at positions 28 to 1380 of the family's 1533-position model. The record is from RNAcentral.
GACGCACUCUGGCGGCGUGCUUAACACAUGCAAGUCGAACGAAGACGUCUUGAAACUCCUCCUUCGGGAGGAGCGGACAGACGGACUGAGUGGCGGACGGGUGCGUAACGCGUGAGCAACCUGCCCUGCAAAGGGGGAUAACAGCCGGAAACGGCUGCUAAUACCGCAUAAGACCACAGCCUGGCAUCAGGCAGCGGUAAAAGGAUCUUCGGAUCCGAUGCAGGAUGGGCUCGCGUCCCAUUAGACUGUUGGUGAGGUAACGGCUCACCAAAUCUGCGAUGGGUAGCCGGCCUGAGAGGGCGACCGGCCACACUGGAACUGAGACACGGUCCAGACUCCUACGGGAGGCAGCAGUGGGGAAUAUUGGGCAAUGGAGGAAACUCUGACCCAGCAACGCCGCGUGAGGGAUGAAGGCCUUCGGGUUGUAAACCUCUGUCCUGUGGGACGAAACAAAUGACGGUACCACAGGAGGAAGCUCCGGCUAACUACGUGCCAGCAGCCGCGGUAAUACGUAGGGAGCAAGCGUUGUCCGGAAUUACUGGGCGUAAAGGGUGCGUAGGCGGUCUUUUAAGUCAGAUGUGAAAGACCGGGGCUUAACCCCGGGAUUGCAUUUGAAACUGGGAGACUUGAGUGCAGGAGAGGUAAGUGGAAUUCCUAGUGUAGCGGUGAAAUGCGUAGAUAUUAGGAGGAACACCAGUGGCGAAGGCGGCUUACUGGACUGCAACUGACGCUGAGGCACGAAAGCGUGGGGAGCAAACAGGAUUAGAUACCCUGGUAGUCCACGCUGUAAACGAUGAACACCAGGUGCAGGGGACACAGGUCUUCUGUGCCGAAGCAAACGCAUUAAGUGUUCCGCCUGGGGAGUACGAUCGCAAGGUUGAAACUCAAAGGAAUUGACGGGGGCCCGCACAAGCAGCGGAGCAUGUGGUUUAAUUCGAAGCAACGCGAAGAACCUUACCAAGGCUUGACAUCGCCUGACAGGUGCAGAGAUGCACCCUCCCCUCGGGGCAGGCAGACAGGUGGUGCAUGGUUGUCGUCAGCUCGUGUCGUGAGAUGUUGGGUUAAGUCCCGCAACGAGCGCAACCCUUAUCACCAGUUGCCAGCGCGUAAUGGCGGGAACUCUGGUGAGACUGCCGGGGAUAACUCGGAGGAAGGUGGGGAUGACGUCAAAUCAUCAUGCCCCUUAUGUCUUGGGCUACACACGUGCUACAAUGGCCGGUACAAAGGGCAGCGAAGCCGCAAGGCGGAGCGAAUCUCAAAAAGCCGGUCCCAGUUCGGAUUGAGGGCUGCAACCCGCCCUCAUGAAGUCGGAGUUGCUAGUAAUCGCGAAUCAGCAUGUCGCGGUGAAUGCGUUCCCGGGCC